This 382-nucleotide unclassified non-coding RNA is filed under the name Zea mays. RNAcentral describes it as "misc RNA Zm00001eb190710". Lineage: Eukaryota; Viridiplantae; Streptophyta; Magnoliopsida; Poales; Poaceae. The record is from RNAcentral.
GCGAAGAGGCCGACGACGGAGCGGCUGAUGGGGGGCGCCGGGAGCGGGUGGAUGACGCCGAGCUGGGUGCGGAGCUUGGAGACGAGCGGGUCCUCCCCUCCCCGGUAGGUCCCCGGGGCCGUGACCGAGAAGGGCGCCGGCGCCUCGACAGCGGCGGAGGUGGAGGGGGCCUCGGGCGGGAGGGUGGUGGUGGGGACCGGCGCCGAGCGCUUGGGGGCAAAGCUGGAGGAGGCUCGGGGGACGGGAAGGCGUCGGCAUCGUCGGGGAAGGUAGAGGAGAGAGUAGGACGUGGAGGGGCUGCUAGCUGCGGAGAGGGAGGGCGGCGGUAUGCCGGCCGAGGGGGUCAGCAUCGGCGACCACCGCCAGAGACACCCACCCAGUC